CCGCUCAGAGUGAACGCUGGCGGUAGGCCUAACACAUGCAAGUCGAACGGCAGCACAGAGGAGCUUGUUCCUUGGGUGGCGAGUGGCGGACGGGUGAGGAAUACAUCGGAAUCUACUUUUUCGUGGGGGAUAACGUAGGGAAACUUACGCUAAUACCGCAUACGACCUACGGGUGAAAGCAGGGGACCUUCGGACCUUGCGCGAUUGAAUGAGCCGAUGUCGGAUUAGCUAGUUGGCGGGGUAAAGGCCCACCAAGGCGACGAUCCGUAGCUGGUCUGAGAGGAUGAUCAGCCACACUGGAACUGAGACACGGUCCAGACUCCUACGGGAGGCAGCAGUGGGGAAUAUUGGACAAUGGGCGCAAGCCUGAUCCAGCCAUACCGCGUGGGUGAAGAAGGCCUUCGGGUUGUAAAGCCCUUUUGUUGGGAAAGAAAUCCAGCCGGCUAAUACCUGGUUGGGAUGACGGUACCCAAAGAAUAAGCACCGGCUAACUUCGUGCCAGCAGCCGCGGUAAUACGAAGGGUGCAAGCGUUACUCGGAAUUACUGGGCGUAAAGCGUGCGUAGGUGGUUGUUUAAGUCUGUUGUGAAAGCCCUGGGCUCAACCUGGGAACUGCAGUGGAAACUGGACAACUAGAGUGUGGUAGAGGGUAGCGGAAUUCCCGGUGUAGCAGUGAAAUGCGUAGAGAUCGGGAGGAACAUCCAUGGCGAAGGCAGCUACCUGGACCAACACUGACACUGAGGCACGAAAGCGUGGGGAGCAAAACAGGAUUAGAUACCCUGGUAGUCCACGCCCUAAACGAUGCGUAACUGGGAUGUUGGGUGCAAAUUUGGCACGCAGUAUCGAAAGCUAACGCGUAAGUUCGCC
This 866-nucleotide ribosomal RNA is filed under the name Stenotrophomonas maltophilia. RNAcentral's name for it is "bacterial SSU rRNA". It matches the Rfam family "Bacterial small subunit ribosomal RNA", at positions 20 to 870 of the family's 1533-position model. The record is from RNAcentral. Lineage: Bacteria; Pseudomonadati; Pseudomonadota; Gammaproteobacteria; Lysobacterales; Lysobacteraceae.